Molecule: long non-coding RNA, 1130 nt
Filed under: Chloebia gouldiae (Gouldian finch)
Lineage: Eukaryota; Metazoa; Chordata; Aves; Passeriformes; Passeridae
Description: Erythrura gouldiae (Gouldian finch) lncRNA (ENSEGOG00005009163.1)
Source: RNAcentral
GCGUGCCUGGAAGUGGAUCCCUCGUACAAAGCCCUGCGGGUGAAGGGCUGUGACCCCAGGAGCCCUCACCAGAAGUGGAGGUUCGGCAGGUACCACGCCGACUGAGGCCAGCCCGGCCGCGGCGGCACCGCGGGCUCGGCGGGACAUCGGCGUGGCUGACGGCAGCCACCAAGAGGGAAGAGCAUUUCCACUGGAACUGGAACCCGUGGUGUGAUACCAGAGUGUGGCGGGAUCCAAACGCCCAGAGCAGCACGGCUGCUGUGGCAGGACCUGAAUGGAGCAGCGUCGUUUUCCCUCACCACAGGAGACUGGGAAAAACUCGUUUUCUGUAUUAUUAAAUGGAAAUAUUUUUUGAAGUCCCCAUCCUACUGUAAGAAAACAUCGCUCAGCUCCCCCUGACAGCAGCAUAAGCUACAGAAAUACUUCUGGGGCCCUUAAGUCUGUAAGCAGCAAACUGGGCUGCUCAUUCCUCCAUGGAAACUGGAAGUUUGUUGACCAAUGCAUCAAAAAAUACCCAGCACCGUGUCCACGCUGGAUCUGGCUGCAGGAUCCAUCCCUGUGGGACCUGUUGUGUGACAGGGCCUCCUCCCGAGUUACUGCCAGGCUGAACCGUAAGUCAUCGCCCCAGAGGAGCCUUCACAGCACCGAUUCCUCUGGUUUCUGGCCUGUUGGCUCCUUCCUCGCUGCAGGAACUGAGCUGGUUGCUGCAGCCACAGCUGCUGCAGGUGUUGUGACAACUGUCACCAACACACUCCACAAGGCUCUGCUCUUACUCACCUGCCCUCAGCCCGCACCAGCACGGCAGAAAUGGAGAAAAAGGAUUUUCGGGCUGUGGUUGCCAUGCCCUGGCCAGCACCUGCCUCAAAGUGCCUCUGCUCCGAGGGACAAUUCCAAUGUCUGCGUGUCCCCUGCCCUCGCACGCCGGGCAGGCAGCUCCCUGCCCCGCUCCCCCCUGCGUGUCCGACCCUCUGCCCACGGGCAUGGCCAGAGGUCUGGCACCGCGUCUCUGCCCGUUCCUUGCCUGUGGAUCCUGGCUGUCCACACCACACCCACCGGAGGCCAGGCAGGGUGGGCAGGGUUCUCCGGCCCCCCGAGCAUCCCGGCACUUCUAUUUUUUCACUUUUUUAACC